UACGUAGGGGGCAAGCGUUGUCCGGAAUCAUUGGGCGUAAAGAGCGUGUAGGCGGCUUGGUAAGUCCGCUGUGAAAGUCCAGGGCUCAACCCUGGAAUGCCGGUGGAAACUGUCAAGCUUGAGUCCGGAAGAGGCGAGUGGAAUUCCUGGUGUAGCGGUGAAAUACGCAGAUAUCAGGAGGAACACCAAUGGCGAAGGCAGCUCGCUGGGACGGUACUGACGCUGAGACGCGAAAGCGUGGGGAGCAAACAGG
This 253-nucleotide ribosomal RNA is filed under the name uncultured bacterium. Its description in RNAcentral is "partial 16S ribosomal RNA". It matches the Rfam family "Bacterial small subunit ribosomal RNA", at positions 524 to 776 of the family's 1533-position model. The record is from RNAcentral.